RNAcentral lists this ribosomal RNA (256 nucleotides) under uncultured bacterium. RNAcentral describes it as "partial 16S ribosomal RNA". It matches the Rfam family "Bacterial small subunit ribosomal RNA", at positions 524 to 776 of the family's 1533-position model. The record is from RNAcentral.
UACGUAGGGUGCAAGCGUUGUCCGGAAUUAUUGGGCGUAAAGAGCUCGUAGGCGGUUUGUUGCGUCGGCUGUGAAAACCUGAGGCUCAACCUCAGGCCUGCAGUCGAUACGAGCAGACUAGAGUGUUGCAGGGGAGACUGGAAUUCCUGGUGUAGCGGUGAAAUGCGCAGAUAUCAGGAGGAACACCGGUGGCGAAGGCGGGUCUCUGGGCCGAUACUGACGCUGGAGGGAGCGAAAGCGUGGGGGAGCGAACAGG